AUAACAUUAGAAAACAAUUAAAGGCUGCCUUACAUUAAAGGCAUAAAUGGAUUUCUAGAAGCCUUAGGACUGUGAAGACUUCAAUAUUCAAACAGGUUUUUAGCUCUUAGCUUUUGGAUUUGUUUGUGUUUAAAAGUGGCCCUGAGGGGAGUGUAGAAUGGUCAGAUUUGACAUCUGUAUCUAUCUCAACUUUGCUUAUGAGAAAAAAAACAGCUGAAGAAUGUUAUGAUUUUCUUCUUGCCCCUUUUAGACUUAUAAAUGACUACAUGGAUAGCUUCACAAGAAC
RNAcentral lists this long non-coding RNA (286 nucleotides) under Bos taurus (domestic cattle). RNAcentral's name for it is "long non-coding RNA NONBTAT026891". The record is from RNAcentral. Lineage: Eukaryota; Metazoa; Chordata; Mammalia; Artiodactyla; Bovidae.